This 1502-nucleotide ribosomal RNA is filed under the name Streptococcus thermophilus. RNAcentral describes it as "16S ribosomal RNA". It matches the Rfam family "Bacterial small subunit ribosomal RNA". The record is from RNAcentral. Lineage: Bacteria; Bacillati; Bacillota; Bacilli; Lactobacillales; Streptococcaceae.
GAUUCUGGCUCAGGACGAACGCUGGCGGCGUGCCUAAUACAUGCAAGUAGAACGCUGAAGAGAGGAGCUUGCUCUUCUUGGAUGAGUUGCGAACGGGUGAGUAACGCGUAGGUAACCUGCCUUGUAGCGGGGGAUAACUAUUGGAAACGAUAGCUAAUACCGCAUAACAAUGGAUGACACAUGUCAUUUAUUUGAAAGGGGCAAUUGCUCCACUACAAGAUGGACCUGCGUUGUAUUAGCUAGUAGGUGAGGUAAUGGCUCACCUAGGCGACGAUACAUAGCCGACCUGAGAGGGUGAUCGGCCACACUGGGACUGAGACACGGCCCAGACUCCUACGGGAGGCAGCAGUAGGGAAUCUUCGGCAAUGGGGGCAACCCUGACCGAGCAACGCCGCGUGAGUGAAGAAGGUUUUCGGAUCGUAAAGCUCUGUUGUAAGUCAAGAACGGGUGUGAGAGUGGAAAGUUCACACUGUGACGGUAGCUUACCAGAAAGGGACGGCUAACUACGUGCCAGCAGCCGCGGCAAUACGUAAGUCCCGAGCGUUGUCCGGAUUUAUUGGGCGUAAAGCGAGCGGAGGCGGUUUGAUAAGUCUGAAGUUAAAGGCUGUGGCUCAACCAUAGUUCGCUUUGGAAACUGUCAAACUUGAGUGCGGAAGGGGAGAGUGGAAUUCCAUGUGUAGCGGUGAAAUGCGUAGAUAUAUGGAGGAACACCGGUGGCGAAAGCGGCUCUCUGGUCUGUAACUGACGCUGAGGCUCGAAAGCGUGGGGAGCGAACAGGAUUAGAUACCCUGGUAGUCCACGCCGUAAACGAUGAGUGCUAGGUGUUGGAUCCUUUCCGGGAUUCAGUGCCGCAGCUAACGCAUUAAGCACUCCGCCUGGGGAGUACGACCGCAAGGUUGAAACUCAAAGGAAUUGACGGGGGCCCGCACAAGCGGUGGAGCAUGUGGUUUAAUUCGAAGCAACGCGAAGAACCUUACCAGGUCUUGGCAUCCCGAUGCUAUUUCUAGAGAUAGAAAGUUACUUCGGUACAUCGGUGACAGGUGGUGCAUGGUUGUCGUCAGCUCGUGUCGUGAGAUGUUGGGUUAAGUCCCGCAACGAGCGCAACCCCUAUUGUUAGUUGCCAUCAUUCAGUUGGGCACUCUAGCGAGACUGCCGGUAAUAAACCGGAGGAAGGUGGGGAUGACGUCAAAUCAUCAUGCCCCUUAUGACCUGGGCUACACACGUGCUACAAUGGUUGGUACAACGAGUUGCGAGUCGGUGACGGCGAGCUAAUCUCUUAAAGCCAAUCUCAGUUCGGAUUGUAAGCUGCAACUCGCCUACAUGAAGUCGGAAUCGCUAGUAAUCGCGGAUCAGCACGCCGCGGUGAAUACGUUCCCGGGCCUUGUACACACCGCCCGUCACACCUCGAGAGUUUGUAACACCCGAAGUCGGUGAGGUAACCUUUUGGAGCCAGCCGCCUAAGGUGGGACAGAUGAUUGGGGUGAAGUCGUAACAAGGUAGCC